This is a non-coding RNA of Aeromonas diversa, 46 nucleotides long. The record is from Rfam. NCBI's taxonomy places the organism in Bacteria, Pseudomonadati, Pseudomonadota, Gammaproteobacteria, Aeromonadales, Aeromonadaceae.
GGAGGCUGUGCUCCGUGCACUAACACGAUGAAGUGUUGCCCGGAGC